AUAUCCCUCAUCAAUUCUAACCAAUCUGGUGGCACACCACCCCUUUCAGCAGUCUUCCAAUAAACACACAAAUGAUAUAAGAGUAUCAGUUCAAUGUAUAUGAUGAAAUUAAUAAAGUUGAAAAAAAAAUACCGCUUACCAUUUCUAUCUCACGUUCCUCUCGUGUCUUAGCACCACCAUUGUGUACUGCUUCACCUUUUCCACCACGCUUGCUUCUUCUAUUAACAGAGUUGGUAGCUGCAAUAUGUGCAGUAGCAUCGAGCUGCCAAUAGGCUUUAAACCCGUCCCGCACAUCUUGAUUCAGACAUAUGGGUUUAUCCUUCUUCAGCCUCCACUUUUUCUUCCACUCAGUCACGUUGCUCGUGUACUGCUUUCUAGCCUGCAAAUUAAAG
RNAcentral lists this long non-coding RNA (392 nucleotides) under Brassica rapa (field mustard). RNAcentral describes it as "long non-coding RNA (BRAP_LNC008573)". The record is from RNAcentral. Lineage: Eukaryota; Viridiplantae; Streptophyta; Magnoliopsida; Brassicales; Brassicaceae.